GAGGUUAUAUGCUGUAUAUUGAAACCAUCAAUUCCCAUCAGAUCACUGAUGUUAAGCAAUAUCAGGCCUGAUCAGUACUUAGGAACACUAAAUGCUACAAGCU
This is a non-coding RNA of Cordylochernes scorpioides, 103 nucleotides long. The record is from the annotation of a GenBank genome assembly. Lineage: Eukaryota; Metazoa; Arthropoda; Arachnida; Pseudoscorpiones; Chernetidae.